Long non-coding RNA from Neopsephotus bourkii (Bourke's parrot), 687 nucleotides. RefSeq lists it as uncharacterized. The transcript is spliced from 2 exons. Lineage: Eukaryota; Metazoa; Chordata; Aves; Psittaciformes; Psittacidae. The record is from RefSeq and is a predicted model, not a curated record.
GUGUAUGUGUGUGCGUGGCCCUGCAUGCAGCAAAAGGCCAGGAGGCCCGAGCCCCUCCCUGAGGAAGCUCGGACAGAGGAUCUGUGCAAAUGUGCUUCCUCUUCCUUUCACUCCCCAGCCCUAAGGUCAAAGGAUCUGGAAAAUCCUCCUCCACCCUGUGACUUGAUCUGACGAUUGUAAGAGAACCUCGGUUCCCCCCCCCGUGCCUUCCGCUCCCCACCCUUCCCUCUUGCAGCCCGGUAACCCUUUAAAGCCUUCUCCAGAUUGAUGCCUGUCAGUCCUGGCCUCUGAGGAUGGACACGGCCGUGUGGGUGCUUGUGUUUUUACAAGCUGAGCAGCCCUGGGUUUCCCAGAAAGGAUAUCCCAGCAGGAAGGAGAAAGGUGGAGCACAAUCCCUGUAGCAUUUCUUGUUCUGCAUUGUACAAAACUUCGUAGGGACACAGGAAGAGGAUACGGAAGUUUCUACAGGAAAACGGAGAAAAGUUCAAACGUAAACAGCAUCCAAAAAAUUUACCAUCAGCUUAUAAUGUUUCCUUUUAAAAUGUUUAAAGACACUCAUGUUACAGCAUAGUUUACUACACAUUAUUAUGUGUAUGUAGUUUUGCAAUUUCUCUAGCAAUAACAUCUCAAAGCCAUUUUUAUCAUGAAUUAUGCAAGCUAUAUUACAUGGAGCAAUGUAAGAAAUCA